AACGAACGCUGGCGGUAUGCUUAACACAUGCAAGUCGAACGGAUUGCAAGAGCUUGCUCUUGUUAAUUAGUGGCAAACGGGUGAGUAAUGUAAAGGAAUCUGCCCAGCAGUAUGGGAUAACUUUGGGAAACCAAAGCUAAUACCAUAUAUUACCCUACGGGGGAAAGAUUUAUCGCUGUUGGAUGAGCCUUUAUCGGAUUAGCUUGUUGGUAGGGUAAUGGCCUACCAAGGCAAUGAUCCGUAGCUGGUCUGAGAGGAUGAUCAGCCACACUGGAACUGAGACACGGUCCAGACUCCUACGGGAGGCAGCAGUGGGGAAUAUUGGACAAUGGGGGCAACCCUGAUCCAGCAAUACCGCGUGAGUGAUGACGGCCUUCGGGUUGUAAAGCUCUUUUAGUAGAGAAGAUAAUGACGGUAUCUACAGAAAAAGCACCGGCUAACUUCG
This 445-nucleotide ribosomal RNA is filed under the name uncultured Rickettsiales bacterium. RNAcentral describes it as "bacterial SSU rRNA". It matches the Rfam family "Bacterial small subunit ribosomal RNA", at positions 29 to 505 of the family's 1533-position model. The record is from RNAcentral. Lineage: Bacteria; Pseudomonadati; Pseudomonadota; Alphaproteobacteria; Rickettsiales.